This 301-nucleotide ribosomal RNA is filed under the name uncultured bacterium. RNAcentral describes it as "partial 16S ribosomal RNA". It matches the Rfam family "Bacterial small subunit ribosomal RNA", at positions 509 to 809 of the family's 1533-position model. The record is from RNAcentral.
CAGCAGCCACGGUAAUACGGAGGGUGCAAGCGUUAAUCGGAAUUACUGGGCGUAAAGCGCACGCAGGCGGUCUGACAAGUCAGAUGUGAAAUCCCCGGGCUUAACCUGGGAACUGCAUUUGAAACUGUCAGGCUGGAGUCUUGUAGAGGGGGGUGGAAUUCCAGGUGUAGCGGUGAAAUGCGUAGAGAUCUGGAGGAAUACCGGUGGCGAAGGCGGCCCCCUGGACAAAGACUGACGCUCAGGUGCGAAAGCGUGGGGAGCAAACAGGAUUAGAUACCCCAGUAGUCCCUGUCUUUUAUAC